GGCGACCGGCGCGACGGGUGAGUAACGCGUACUCCAACCUUCCCUAUACUAGAGAAUAGCCCGGCGAAAGUCGGAUUAAUGCUCUAUGUUCUUCUUUUGAUGGCAUCUGACGAGAAGCAAAGGUUUACCGGUAUAGGAUGGGGAUGCGUCUGAUUAGGUUGUUGGCGGGGUAACGGCCCACCAAGCCUACGAUCAGUAGGGGUUCUGAGAGGAAGGUCCCCCACAUUGGUACUGAGACACGGACCAAACUCCUACGGGAGGCAGCAGUGAGGAAUAUUGGUCAAUGGGCGAGAGCCUGAACCAGCCAAGUAGCGUGCAGGAUGACUGCCCUAUGGGUUGUAAACUGCUUUUAUAGGGGAAUAAAGUGAGGUAUGCAUACCUUUUUGUAUGUACCCUAUGAAUAAGGACCGGCUAAUUCCGUGCCAGCAGCCGC
Molecule: ribosomal RNA, 433 nt
Filed under: uncultured bacterium
Lineage: Bacteria
Description: bacterial SSU rRNA
Rfam family: Bacterial small subunit ribosomal RNA
Source: RNAcentral